CUUGAGGCAUGUGCACACCCUUAUCGCGCAUCUACAUCUCACACCUGUGCACAACCUGUAGCUUGGGAUGAUUACAAUACCGGAAACGGUAUUGAAAGCCCUCGCUAUGAAUUUUUAUACAACCAUAUUAAAAGUUAUAGAAUGUUUAAUGUUAUAGCGUGUAACAGCGCGAAUAAAUAUAUAACUUUCAGCAACGGAUCUCUUGGCUCUCGCAUCGAUGAAGAACGCAGCGAAAUGCGAUAAGUAAUGUGAAUUGCAGAAUUCAGUGAAUCAUCGAAUCUUUGAACGCACCUUGCGCUCCUUGGUAUUCUGAGGAGCAUGCCUGUUUGAGUGUCAUGAAAUUCUCAACUGCUUCAGCUUUUACGGUUGAAGUGAAGUUGGAUUUGGAGGAAUAUUUGCUGGCGUGACCUUUUAUAGGUUGCUUGUCAGCUCCUCUUAAAUGGAUGAACUUUCCGGUAGUAAAGUAACACCAAUGUGAUAAUUAUCUACGUUGGAUAAGCUUGAACAAGGAAAGAUGAAACCUGUCUUGGAGGGAAAACCCCCUUGACGAAACAAAUGACAAAUUUGACCUCAAAUCAGGUAGGAUUACCCGCUGAACUUAAGCAUAUCAAUAAGCGGAGGAAAAGAAACUAACAAGGAUUCCCCUAGUAACUGCGAGUGAAGCGGGAAAAGCUCAAAUUUAAAAU
RNAcentral lists this ribosomal RNA (686 nucleotides) under uncultured Pseudotomentella. RNAcentral describes it as "eukaryotic LSU rRNA". The stretch from base 183 to 336 matches the Rfam family "5.8S ribosomal RNA". The record is from RNAcentral. Lineage: Eukaryota; Fungi; Basidiomycota; Agaricomycetes; Thelephorales; Thelephoraceae.